GACAGAGGCCUCGAGCGUUAGGCGGAAUCACUGGGCUUAAAGCGUGUGUAGGCGGAUCGUUAAGUGCCUUGUGAAAUCCCACGGCUUAACUGUGGAACGGCUGGGCAUACUGGCGGUCUUGAGCCAUCUAGGGGCGACUGGAACAAACGGUGGAGCGGUGAAAUGCGUAGAUAUCUGGAAGAACACCGGUGGCGCAAGCGGAUUGCUGGGCCAUAACUGACACUGAGGAACGAAAGCUAGGGUAGCGAAUGGG
This 253-nucleotide ribosomal RNA is filed under the name uncultured bacterium. RNAcentral describes it as "partial 16S ribosomal RNA". It matches the Rfam family "Bacterial small subunit ribosomal RNA", at positions 524 to 776 of the family's 1533-position model. The record is from RNAcentral.